RNAcentral lists this ribosomal RNA (252 nucleotides) under uncultured bacterium. RNAcentral's name for it is "partial 16S ribosomal RNA". It matches the Rfam family "Bacterial small subunit ribosomal RNA", at positions 524 to 776 of the family's 1533-position model. The record is from RNAcentral.
UACGUAGGGUGCAAGCGUUAUCCGGAUUUAUUGGGCGUAAAGCGAGCGCAGGUGGUUUAUUAAGUCCGGUGUAAAAGGCAGUGGCUCAACCAUUGUAUGCAUUGGAAACUGGUAGACUUGAGUGCAGGAGAGGAGAGUGGAAUUCCAUGUGUAGCGGUGAAAUGCGUAGAUAUAUGGAGGAACACCGGUGGCGAAAGCGGCUCUCUGGCCUGUAACUGACACUGAGGCUCGAAAGCGUGGGGAGCAGACAGG